Molecule: long non-coding RNA, 530 nt
Organism: Pipra filicauda (Wire-tailed manakin)
Lineage: Eukaryota; Metazoa; Chordata; Aves; Passeriformes; Pipridae
Exons: 3
Source: RefSeq, a predicted model, not a curated record
AACUGGACACAACAGUAGGGCCCCUUGGUACCUCCAGGACCCUGGCAGCCAUGGCCCAAAUGCCAAAGUCAUCCCAGGCCUGUUGAUGGCUUAGCGGGAAGCAGCAGUUGCAAAGCACAGCUGGAUGCCUUUUCACCAGUUGUGCAAGAAUAUCUACAUCACCCUCAGUGAUGGGGAUGUCUGCUGACCAGAAGGGACUACUGAUACACAGCACGUAUUGCUCACCAUCCUCAGCAAAAAAAUGUACUCCAAAGCACACAGUCGCCUCUCACUGGAGAUGGAUUCCCCCAUACAGAAGAAAAUAUGGAAAUCUCAGAGGGAACCACAGAAAGAAACACAAACCACAGAGAAAAAGUUCUGUUCAUCUCUAAACUGGUUGUCCCUCAAUUAGGUAAUUAGAUCUGUAACAAACUGAAAAUGGCUCUACAAAUCUAGCGAGAUAACUCUUCCCUAUGUCUCAGACUCUGAAAGAAGACAGCUUCAGUAAAGGCAGUGGAAAAUUAUUAAUAAAAAAGGUGAUUUAUGUGCUA